UCCAUAGAGCAGUGUGAUCAGAACUUUUGCGAUGUGUUCUUUGAAGGCUUGUGUGGCUUAGGAACCAACAAAUAAAGAGGACAUGUCUUAACUAAUAUUGUCCUCAUUUAGGCAACCUAGGCCUCUACAAAAUCAUCAGUUUUAAAGGACGAUAAAUAUAAAAUAAAGAUAUAUUCUGUCUCUGCAUUAGCUGUUGACAGACCUGGAGGUCCAGAAAAUUAACUCUCUUUCUAUUCCUGGAACAGACCAAUACAAUUACUUGAAGGACAAUCUCUUGCUGGAAAUGCAGGUGAUCAGCAAUGAAGAGCCAAGAAGGGAGAGCGUGCCCAGGUUCCUGAGAGCAGUGCAGUGGGAUUCAGUCAUCUUUAUUUCCUUCAGCUUGAGCACAGAGAAGCAAAAGGAGAGAUUAAGACCAAGGAUGGGAUCAGCCUGUGGCGGGAAAAGUCAAACUGUAGCAAACCUUCUGGGCCAAUCCAUCUGACUGGCUGUGCAGGGGAUGGGGCAGCCUGGAUAAUUGAUGGACUCAAUCUGACCAGGCACAGGUGGCACGGAGACGGCAUACAGCAGCUUCUCGGGUUUGCCAGUGCCAUCUGUUGCCAUAAGAACAUCUGUCGUCAAGGUCACCCUGUCACCCUCUGUUAAAGUUACAGGUUUGUUGUGAAGAAUUAAUAAUAAUAACACGAAGAAUUACUGAAUAAUUAAAAGAAAAAGUACGCAUAAUUUUAAAAAAGGACUUCCCUGUAAAAGGUUUGCCAAAAGAUUAUUGUCAUUGUUCUCUCUCGCUAAAACCUUAGCUCAUUUCA
RNAcentral lists this long non-coding RNA (803 nucleotides) under Felis catus (domestic cat). RNAcentral's name for it is "lncRNA (ENSFCAG00000053708.1)". The record is from RNAcentral. Lineage: Eukaryota; Metazoa; Chordata; Mammalia; Carnivora; Felidae.